This 468-nucleotide ribosomal RNA is filed under the name uncultured bacterium. Its description in RNAcentral is "partial 16S ribosomal RNA". It matches the Rfam family "Bacterial small subunit ribosomal RNA", at positions 28 to 507 of the family's 1533-position model. The record is from RNAcentral.
GACGAACGCUGGCGGCGUGCUUAACACAUGCAAGUCGAACGGAAAGGCCCUGCUUUUGUGGGGUGCUCGAGUGCCGAACGGGUGAGUAACACGUGAGUAACCUGCCCUUGACUUUGGGAUAACUUCAGGAAACUGGGGCUAAUACCGGAUAGGAGCUCCUGCUGCAUGGUGGGGGUUGGAAAGUUUCGGCGGUUGGGGAUGGACUCGCGGCUUAUCAGCUUGUUGGUGGGGUAGUGGCUUACCAAGGCUUUGACGGGUAGCCGGCCUGAGAGGGUGACCGGCCACAUUGGGACUGAGAUACGGCCAAGACUCCUACGGGAGGCAGCAGUGGGGAAUAUUGCACAAUGGGCGGAAGCCUGAUGCAGCAACGCCGCGUGCGGGAUGACGGCCUUCGGGUUGUAAACCGCUUUCGCCUGUGACGAAGCGUGAGUGACGGUAAUGGGUAAAGAAGCACCGGCUAACUACGUG